This 495-nucleotide ribosomal RNA is filed under the name uncultured bacterium. RNAcentral describes it as "partial 16S ribosomal RNA". It matches the Rfam family "Bacterial small subunit ribosomal RNA", at positions 28 to 507 of the family's 1533-position model. The record is from RNAcentral.
GACGAACGCUGGCGGCGUGCCUAAUACAUGCAAGUCGAACGCUGAAGGAGGAGCUUGCUCUUCUGGAUGAGUUGCGAACGGGUGAGUAACGCGUAGGUAACCUGCCUGGUAGCGGGGGAUAACUAUUGGAAACGAUAGCUAAUACCGCAUAAGAGUAGAUGUUGCAUGACAUUUGCUUAAAAGGUGCAAUUGCAUCACUACCAGAUGGACCUGCGUUGUAUUAGCUAGUUGGUGGGGUAACGGCUCACCAAGGCGACGAUACAUAGCCGACCUGAGAGGGUGAUCGGCCACACUGGGACUGAGACACGGCCCAGACUCCUACGGGAGGCAGCAGUAGGGAAUCUUCGGCAAUGGACGGAAGUCUGACCGAGCAACGCCGCGGGAGUGAAGAAGGUUUUCGGAUCGUAAAGCUCUGUUGUAAGAGAAGAACGAGUGUGAGAGUGGAAAGUUCACACUGUGACGGUAUCUUACCAGAAAGGGACGGCUAACUACGUG